GUAGGGAAUAUUGGACAAUGGGGGGAACCCUGAUCCAGCCAUGCCGCGUGGAGGAAGACUGCCCUCUGGGUUGUAAACUCCUUUUAUAUGGGAAGAACCGUCCUCAUUAAUGAGUGACCUGACGGUACCAUAGGAAUAAGCACCGGCUAACUCCGUGCCAGCAGCCGCGGUAAUACGGAGGGUGCAAGCGUUAUCCGGAUUCACUGGGUGUAAAGGGUGCGUAGGCGGAUAAAUAAGUCAGUGGUGAAAUCAACGGGCUCAACCUGUUAACUGCCAUUGAUACUGUGUAUCUUGAAUAUGAGAGAGGUAGGCGGAAUGUUGCAUGUAGCGGUGAAAUGCUUAGAUAUGCUACGGAACACCGAUUGCGAAGGCAGCUUACUAUUUCGUAAUUGACGCUGAGGCACGAAAGCGUGGGUAGCGAACAGGAUUAGAUACCCGGGUAGUCC
This 446-nucleotide ribosomal RNA is filed under the name uncultured bacterium. Its description in RNAcentral is "partial 16S ribosomal RNA". It matches the Rfam family "Bacterial small subunit ribosomal RNA", at positions 354 to 796 of the family's 1533-position model. The record is from RNAcentral.